GGCCCCAUAGCCAAGUGGUUAAGGCAGGGAACUUUAAAUUCUCCAUUCGAGGGUUCGAACCCCUCUGGGGCCACCA
Molecule: transfer RNA, 76 nt
Filed under: Novimethylophilus kurashikiensis
Lineage: Bacteria; Pseudomonadati; Pseudomonadota; Betaproteobacteria; Nitrosomonadales; Methylophilaceae
Description: tRNA-Sup
Rfam family: tRNA
About the family: Transfer RNA (tRNA) molecules are approximately 80 nucleotides in length.
Source: RNAcentral